Molecule: transfer RNA, 960 nt
Filed under: Bartonella henselae
Lineage: Bacteria; Pseudomonadati; Pseudomonadota; Alphaproteobacteria; Hyphomicrobiales; Bartonellaceae
Description: partial contains 16S ribosomal RNA and 16S-23S ribosomal RNA intergenic spacer
Rfam family: tRNA (bases 421-494)
Source: RNAcentral
GGGGAGCGUACAGGGUAGCCGUAGGGGACCUGUGGCUGGAUCACCUCCUUUCUAAGGAUGAUCAAGAAUUGGAACUCCCUCCUUACGGAGAGUGUUUUCCUUUUUGAUCUCAUUAGACAUAAAGGUUUAAAGCAAUUUAAACCUUGUGCAUAUGACACUCACUUUAAAAGAUAGUUCUCAUUUUAAAAGAGGCCCCUACCUCUGAAAGAGUGAAGGCGCCCUUUAAGGUGCAGUGCUCAUGUGUUUAAGAUACAUAAACAGGCUAGCCGUCUUCGUUUCUCUUUCUUCAGAUGAUGAUCCCAAGCCUUCUGGCGAUCUAGACAAAACAAGUCCACCGUGGGCUUUGAAAAACGCUUUCCUUGAUAAAAUUUAAGCGUUUUAUAAGAGGAUGCCGGGGAAGGUUUUCCGGUUUAUCCCGGAGGGCUUGUAGCUCAGUUGGUUAGAGCGCGCGCUUGAUAAGCGUGAGGUCGGAGGUUCAAGUCCUCCCAGGCCCACCAGUUUAUCCAUUACUUUCAUAAGUGCUUUUAAAAAAUAAGUACUUCUAAAAAGAUUGCUUCUAAAAAGAUUGCUUCUAAAAAGCUUAUCAAAAUUGGCAGGCUUAUUGCUUUUGUGUGAGUAAUCCAAAGUUAAAGCAAAUUAAUGGCAAAAAAACAGUUCAAAUGCUAAAUACUAAGGAGUCAAAAUUCCUUGCAAAGUGAUUUUUACAGCGUCCAUUUGGUUGAUAUAAAUUCCAAAUGCUCAUAGACGUCAAUGCCUAUAUGAAACUAUCGGUUCAAUCAUAUCGCUUUGAGUUAUAUAGAUUUUGUAAUCCCUCUUUUGAUCGUUUUAAACGCUUUAUCCUGAUUUAGGGGCCGUAGCUCAGCUGGGAGAGCACCUGCUUUGCAAGCAGGGGGUCGUCGGUUCGAUCCCGUCCGGCUCCACCAUAAGGUCAUCAUCAUUGUUGUAAGAACAGUUUNGUAA